This 4397-nucleotide long non-coding RNA is filed under the name Lathyrus oleraceus (garden pea). Its description in RNAcentral is "Pisum sativum (pea) long non-coding RNA (PSAT_LNC031279)". Lineage: Eukaryota; Viridiplantae; Streptophyta; Magnoliopsida; Fabales; Fabaceae. The record is from RNAcentral.
AUACAUUACAACUUAAGUCAAUAAAAUUAAUCAUAUUUUUGUGUGUGCAUAUUUUCUUGUUUUAAUAUUUAAAACAUAUAUUUAAUAUAAAAAAGGUAUAAAAUAAGCAAAUCAUUCUACCAAUGUUAUUUGGUGUGGUAAACAUAGUUAGUCACCUUGAGAACGCUACUGUGUUAAACAAAUACAUUAAGUAGCUAAGUCAUAUGUGUAUGUAUAUGUCAUUUUAAUUCAAAGACAUGCAUUCUGAGUGUUUCAAUCGAUGUUAUAAUGUUCACCACAAACUUAGCUCUUUUUUCGUGUAUCCAUCUAAAAGGUUUCAUGUUUCUAAUAAAAGCAACUCUACGUUUGUUUUCACAAUUUGUUUUUUUAUUACUUUAACCAUUAUGGUCUAUAUAAACUUUCAUUUUCUUUUUUUUUAUUGUAAUUUUUAAAAUAAAAUAAAAUUAUGAUAUAAAUACAUUAAACUUUAAAAUUUUAGAUUUAAUAAAGCUCAAUUAUACAUUACAACUUAAGUCAAUAAAAUUAAUUUUUUUUUUUGCAUAUUCUCUUGUUUUAAUGUUUAAAAAAUAUAUUUAAUUGAAAGAAAAGGUAUAAAAUAAGUAAAUCAUUUUACCAAUAUUGAUUUGGUGUAGUAAAUAUAGUCAAUCACCUUCAGAAGGCUAAUGUAUUGAACAAAUACAUUAAGUAGCUAAGAAAUAUGUGUAUGUAUAUGUCAUUUUAAAUCAAAGACAUGUAUUCUGAGUGUUUCAACGCAUGUCAUAAAGUCCAAAGCAAAUUUAGAUCUUUUUCCAUGUAUCUAUCUAAUAGGUUUCACGUUUCUAAUAAAAAUAAGUCUACAUUUGCUUUCACAAUUUGUUUUGUUUUUCAUUACUUUAACCAUUUUUGUCUAUAUAAACUUUCAUUUUCUUUAUUUCAUUUUUUAUUGUCAUUUUUUUUAAAAUAAAAAUUAUGAUAUGAAUACAUUAUACCUCUUAGAAUUUUAGAUUUAAUAAACUCAAAUAUACAUUACAACUUAAGUCAAUAAAAUUAAUCAUAUUGUUUUUUUCUGCAUAUUUUUUGUUUUAAUGUUUAAAACAUAUAUUUAAUUUAAAAAAAGGUAUAAAUAAGCAAUUCAUUCUACCAAUGUUGAUUUGUUGUAGUAUGCAUAGUAAGUCACCUUGAGAAGGCUAUUGUGUUAAACAAAUACAUUAAGUAGCUAAGUAAUACGUGUAUGUAUAUGUACUUUAAUUCAAAGACAUGCAUAUGAUGGUUUCAACACAAUUAUAAUGUCCAAAGCAAACUUAACUAUAUUUCCAGGUAUCCAUCUAAUAGGUUCAUGUUUCUAAUAAAAGCAACUCUACGUUUGUUUUCACAAUUUGUUUUUUUUCAUUACUUUAACCAUUUUUGUCUAUAUAAACUUUCAUUUUCUUUAUUUCUUUUUUAUUGUCAUUGUUGCAAAAUAAAAAUUAUGUAUAAAUACAUUAUACUAUAGAAAUUUAGAUUAAAUAAAACUCAAAUAUACAUUACAACUUAAGUCAAUAAUAUUAAUUAUAAUUUUAUUUUGCAUAUUCUCUUGUUUUAAUGUUUGAAACGUAUAUUUAAUUUUUUGAAAGAGAUAAAAUAAGCAAAUCAUACUACCAUGUUGAUUUGGUUGGUAAACAUUGUGAUCACCUUGAGAAGACUACUGUGUUAAACAAAUACAUUAAGUAGCUAAGUAAUAUGUGUAUGUAUAUGACAUUUUAAGUCAAAGACAUGCAUUCUGAGUGUUCUAAUCAAUGUUAUAAUGUUCAAGGCAAACUUAGCUCUUCUUUCAUGUAUCCAUCUAAUAGGUUUCAGGUUUCUAAUAAAAGCAACUCUACGUUUGUUUUCACAAUUUGUUUUGUUUUUCAUACUUUAACCAUUUUUGUUUAUAAAUUCAUUUUCUUUAUUUCUUUUUUAUUGUCAUUUUUUUAAAAUAAAAAUUAUGAUAUGAUAAAAUUAUACCUUAGAAUUUUAGAUUUAAUAAAACUUAAAUAUACAUUACAACUUAAGUCAAUUAAAUUAAUCAUAUUUUUUUGUGUGCAUAUUUUCUUGUUUUAAUAUUUAAAACAUAUAUUUAAUAUAAAAAAGGUAUAAAAUAAGCAAAUCAUUCUACCAAUGUUGAUUUGGUGUGGUAAACAUAGUUAGUCACCUUGAGAAGGCUACUGUGUUAAACAAAUACAUUAAGUAGCUAAGUAAUAUGUGUAUGUAUAUGUCAUUUUAAUUCAAAGACAUGCAUUCUGAGUGUUACAAUCGAUGUUAUAAUGUUCAAAACAAACUUAGCUCUUUUUUCAUGUAUCCAUCUAAAAGGUUUCAUGUUUCUAAUAAAAGCAACUCUACGUUUGUUUUCACAAUUUGUUUUUUUUUUACUUUAACCAUUAUGGUCUAUAUAAACUUUCAUUUUCUUUUUUUUUUUUGUCAUUUUUAAAAUAAAAUAAAAUUAUGAUAUAAAUACAUUAAACUUUAAAAUUUUAGAUUUAAUAAAGCUCAAAUAUACAUUACAACUUAAGUCAAUAAAAUUAAUUAUAUUUUUUUUUUCAUAUUCUCUUGUUUUAAUGUUUAAAAAAUAUAUUUAAUUGAAAGAAAAGGUAUAAAAUAAGUAAAUCAUUCUACCAAUAUUGAUUUGGUGUAGUAAAUAUAGUCAAUCACCUUCAGAAGGCUAUUGUUUUGAACAAAUACAUUAAGUAGCUAAGAAAUAUGUGUAUGUAUAUGUCAUUUUAAAUCAAAGACAUGUAUUCUGAGUGUUUCAACCCACGUCAUAAAGUCCAAAGCAAAUUUAGAUCUUUUUCCAUGUAUCUAUCUAAUAGGUUUCAUGUUUCUAAUAAAAAUAAGUCUACAUUUGUUUUCACAAUUUGUUUUGUUUUUCAUUACUUUAACCAUUUUUGUCUAUAUAAACUUUCAUUUUCUUUAUUUCAUUUUUUAUUGUCAUUUUUUUUAAAAUAAAAAUUAUGAUAUGAAUACAUUAUACCUUAGAAUUUUAGAUUUAAUAAAACUCAAAUAUACAUUACAACUUAAGUCAAUAAAAUUAAUCAUAUUGUUUUUUUCUGCAUAUUUUCUUGUUUUAAUGUUUAAAACAUAUAUUUAAUUUAAAAAAAAUGUAUAAAAUAAUCAAUUCAUUCUACCAAUGUUGAUUUGUUGUAGUAUGCAUAGUAAGUCACCUUGAGAAGGCUAUUGUAUUAAACAAAUACAUUAAGUAGCUAAGUAAUACGUGUAUGAAUAUGUAACUUUAAUUCAAAGACAUGCAAUCUGAGUGUUUCAACCCAAAUUAUAAUGUCCAAAGCAAACUUAACUAUUUUUCCAGGUAUCCAUCUAAUAGGUUUCAUGUUUCUAAUAAAAGCAACUCUACGUUUGUUUUCACAAUUUGUUUAUUUUCAUUACUUUAACCAUUUUUGUCUAUAUAAACUUUCAUUUUCUUUAUUUCUUUUUUUAUUGUCAUUGUUGCAAAAAUAAAAAUUAUGAUAUAAAUACAUUAUACUAUAGAAAUUUAGAUUAAAUAAAAACUCAAAUAUACAUACAACUUAAGUCAAUAAUAUUAAUUAUAAUUUUAUUUUGCAUAUUCUCUUGUUUUAAUGUUUGAAACGUAUAUUUAAUUUUUUGAAAGAGAUAAAAUAAGCAAUCAUACUACCAAUGUUGAUUUGGUGUGGUAAACAUUGUGAGUCACCUUGAGAAGACUACUGUGUUAAACAAAUACAUUAAGUAGCUAAGUAAUAUGUGUAUGUAUAUGACAUUUUAAGUCAAAGACAUGCAUUCUGAGUGUUCUAAUCAAUGUUAUAAUGUUCAAAGCAAACUUAGCUCUUCUUUCAUGUAUCCAUCUAAUAGGUUUCAGGUUUCUAAUAAAAGCAACUCUACGUUUGUUUUCACAAUUUGUUUUGUUUUUCAUUACUUUAACCAUUUUUGUUUAUAUAAAUUUCAUUUUCUUUAUUUCAAUUUUUAUUGUCAUUUUUUUAAAAAUAAAAAUUAUGAUAUGAUAAAAUUAUACCUUAGAAUUUUAGAUUUAAUAAAACUUAAAUAUACAUUACACUUAAGUCAAUAAAAAUAUCAAUAUUUUUUUGUGUCCAUAUUUUCUUGUUUUAAUAUUUAAAAAUAUAUUUAAUAUAAAAAAGGUAUAAAAUAAGCAAAUCAUUCUACCAAUGUUGAUUUGUGGUGGUAAACAUAGUUAGUCACCUUGAGAAGGCUACUGUGUUAAACAAAUACUUAAGUAGCUAAGAAUAUGUGUAUGUAUAUGUCAUUUUAAUUCAAAGACAUGCAUUCUGAGUGUUACAAUCGAUGUUAUAAUGUUCAAAACAAACUUAGCUCUUUUUUCAUGUAUCCAUCUAAAAGGUUUCAUGUUUCUAAUAAAAGCAACUCUACGUUUGUUUUCACAAUUUGUUUUUUUAUUACUUUAACCAUUAUGGUCUAUA